GGGGUUUUAGUAUAAUGGUAAUGCACAUGACUUUUAAUCAUCAAGAUAUAGGUUCGAAUCCUAUAAACCCCA
This 72-nucleotide transfer RNA is filed under the name Scopulariopsis brevicaulis (arsenic fungus). RNAcentral describes it as "tRNA-Lys". It matches the Rfam family "tRNA". Rfam says of the family: Transfer RNA (tRNA) molecules are approximately 80 nucleotides in length. Their secondary structure includes four short double-helical elements and three loops (D, anti-codon, and T loops). Lineage: Eukaryota; Fungi; Ascomycota; Sordariomycetes; Microascales; Microascaceae. The record is from RNAcentral. RNAcentral also lists the same sequence under 1 other name.